GGACUCUGGAGAAGCUCAAUUAUGAGGGCCGAAGGUGAAAACGCAGAGAUGCGCGAAUCUCUCAGGCAAAAGGACAGAGUAAG
Molecule: non-coding RNA, 83 nt
Filed under: chicken gut metagenome
Description: Glycine riboswitch
Rfam family: Glycine riboswitch aptamer
About the family: This family represents the bacterial glycine riboswitch.
Source: RNAcentral